Long non-coding RNA from Pieris napi, 311 nucleotides. RefSeq lists it as uncharacterized. NCBI's taxonomy places the organism in Eukaryota, Metazoa, Arthropoda, Insecta, Lepidoptera, Pieridae. The record is from RefSeq and is a predicted model, not a curated record. The transcript has 2 exons.
GUAAAAUAAAUAUGGCAUAAUAUUUACUGCUUUCUAUUACAAACAAUGCCAGUUAAUAAACACUUGUAUUAUAUUUUUAUAACAAUACUAUUUAUUUCAAUAACUGAAUGUUCUAAAUAUCACCACGAAAGGGCUGAAGCAGAAUUGAUACGACCCAAUGAAGGGAAGAUAAGUAAUUGGUUUUGUGAACAACUAUGUUAUAAUUAUGGUUGGAAUGAGGGACAAUGCCUAGAUCCCAAGUGGUGUUUAUGCUAUGACUAAGGAAGAAUAAUUUAUAUAACUUUUUUGCCAUUAAAAGACUUCAAGCUUUG